GUGUUUCAGGUGACCCAUUCCUCCUCCCAAAGGGCGCCUGACGGAACAGCGGCACUCCUCCUCCCAGCCGUUGUUCAAUUCUUUCGAAAAGCCUGCCGCACCUCCUCCCGCGGCAGGCUUUUUCG
Non-coding RNA from Rhizobium freirei PRF 81, 125 nucleotides. Lineage: Bacteria; Pseudomonadati; Pseudomonadota; Alphaproteobacteria; Hyphomicrobiales; Rhizobiaceae. The record is from Rfam.